RNAcentral lists this long non-coding RNA (1206 nucleotides) under Felis catus (domestic cat). RNAcentral's name for it is "lncRNA (ENSFCAG00000044603.2)". Lineage: Eukaryota; Metazoa; Chordata; Mammalia; Carnivora; Felidae. The record is from RNAcentral.
CUCUGAUAAAGUAGUUUCCCUUGAGGCAGGUCUCUUUGACCUUGAGCCUAUUUCAAAAUGGCUACUUUCCCCUCUUCCUGUCUGAAGCACUGGUCAGGUUUCUUCAGUCUUCACCAUAAGAACCUGGAGUUUCUUCAGGUUAAACCUGUGAAAGUGUAGGUGCUCCCCUAGGAGUAGGCCCCAGGAGGUUUUAAUGCUCAAGCCAUUCCACACUCAGCCUCCACCAAUUAGUCAAUUACCACCUGAGUGUUCCUACAAGUUAUGGCUCUAGCUAGUAAACUGACCUCAGCUGUUACUCUUUGUAUUUACUUGUCUCUCCAGUUUUUAAGGAAGCAGUUUGGCCUGUGGGAGUUCAGUUCCCGGAUGGACCUAAGAAGAGGUGUUGGCUUUCAGGUCGUGCAGUGGUGUUUACGUCCAAGAACUAAAACUAAAUUCCUAGAGCUGUGGAAUGACAAAGAUGCAAUUAUCUACAUCCUAAGAUGUUAUCAUCCAACAAAGAGGAUUAUUUUUUACUUUUGGCAUGAAGUUGGGGUAGAGGGUGAUCACCUAAUUCAAUCAGCAAUUCUACUGAUUUGAACUGAGUUUUAAUCUUUCUAAGGACAAAUCUACAGGUUAAUUUCUAAUUUAUCCUUACUCUUAAUUGUUAAAGCUCAAACUGCAAGCUUUCAGUAUUUAUUAGUGACCCAUCUCUGUAGUGUCUGUGAAUGACAAAUUUGGUCUUCUUUGCCUGUAUUAAUAAUAACAAGAGGUCUAUUAACCUUCUCAGCUUUUUAACCACCCUUCUUAUUCAAGCUCUUUUACUUGGCUUCUCAGCCUCUUAGUCACCAGCUGCAAAUAGGUGAAAAGAUAUCUCAAAUAAUGUACUCACUUCUAUAUUUUCCUUUUCUUGAUUUUGGGCCCUUAGGUCCUUGAUGUCAGGUUGGCUCUCUGAGGUCAUUGAAUCAAUUUUGUUUAUUUAGUUGAAGAUUUUAUCCACUUUUUUUUAGUUUCCUGUUUCAGCAGGACAAUUGGUCUGUUAGCUUAUUUCACCAUUACUAUAAACAGAAAUCCCAUUUAUUGAUUUAAGCAAAAGAGCAAUCAUAAAUCCAUCAAGGUACCUGGCCAAACUGCUAUUUGAUCCCUAAAAAGAACAAAGUGACGAGAACAAAGAUCAUGGAGAGUCAGAAAAAACAGACUUGAAUAAAACUUUCACUUAAUUUUAACUCA